This 225-nucleotide ribosomal RNA is filed under the name uncultured bacterium. RNAcentral describes it as "partial 16S ribosomal RNA". It matches the Rfam family "Bacterial small subunit ribosomal RNA", at positions 97 to 339 of the family's 1533-position model. The record is from RNAcentral.
GGCGGACGGGUUAGUAACGCGUGGGAACGUACCCUUCUCUACGGAAUAGCCAUUGGAAACGAUGAGUAAUACCGCAUACGCCCUACGGGGGAAAGAUUUAUCGCCGAAAGAGAAGCCCGCGUCGGAUUAGCUUGUUGGUAGGGUAAUGGCCUACCAAGGCGACGAUCCGUAGCUGGUCUGAGAGGAUGACCAGCCACACUGGUACUGAGACACGGACCAGACUCC